This 254-nucleotide ribosomal RNA is filed under the name uncultured bacterium. RNAcentral describes it as "partial 16S ribosomal RNA". It matches the Rfam family "Bacterial small subunit ribosomal RNA", at positions 102 to 353 of the family's 1533-position model. The record is from RNAcentral.
ACGGGUGAGUAACGCGUGAGUAACCUGCCUUCAAGAGGGGGAUAACAUUCUGAAAAGGAUGCUAAUACCGCAUGAUAUAUCGGAACCACAUGGUUUUGAUAUCAAAGAUUUUAUCGCUUGAAGAUGGACUCGCGUCCGAUUAGUUUGUUGGUGAGGUAACGGCUCACCAAGACCGCGAUCGGUAGCCGGACUGAGAGGUUGAACGGCCACAUUGGGACUGAGACACGGCCCAGACUCCUACGGGAGGCAGCAUG